RNAcentral lists this ribosomal RNA (439 nucleotides) under uncultured bacterium. Its description in RNAcentral is "partial 16S ribosomal RNA". It matches the Rfam family "Bacterial small subunit ribosomal RNA", at positions 338 to 795 of the family's 1533-position model. The record is from RNAcentral.
CCUACGGGUGGCAGCAGUGGGGAAUAUUGCACAAUGGGGGAAACCCUGAUGCAGCGACGCCGCGUGAGCGAUGAAGUAUCUCCGUAUGUUAAGCUCUAUCAGCAGGGGAGAAAAUGACGGUACCUGACUCAGAAUCCCGGCUAACUACGUGCCAGCAGCCGCGAUAAUACUUAGGGGGCAAGCGUUAUCCGGAUUUACUGGGUGUAAAGGGGGCGUAGACGGCGGUGCAAGCCAGGCGUGAAAGCCCGGGGCUCAACCCCGGGACUGCAUUUGGAACUGUGCUGCUAGAGUUUGGGAGAGGCAGGCGGAAUGCGUGGUGUAGCGGUGAAAUGCGUAGAUAUUAGGCGGAACACCAGUGGCGAAGGCGGCCUGCUGGAUGAUGACUGACGUUGAGGCUCGAAAGCGUGGGGAGCGAACAGGAUUAGAUACCCCAGUAGUC